AGAGUUUGAUCCUGGCUCAGGAUGAACGCUGGCGGUCUGCUUAACACAUGCAAGUCGAACGGAGUAGCAAUACUUAGUGGCGGACGGGUGAGUAACGCGUGAGAAUCUACCUUCAGGACGGAGACAACAGUUGGAAACGACUGCUAACCCCCGAUGUACCGUAAGGGCAAAUAUUUAUAGCCUGAAGAAGAGCUCGCGUCCGAUUAGCUAGUUGGAGAGGUAACAGCUCACCAAGGCGACGAUCGGUAGCUGGUCUGAGAGGACGAUCAGCCACACUGGGACUGAGACACGGCCCAGACUCCUACGGGAGGCAGCAGUGGGGAAUUUUCCGCAAUGGGCGAAAGCCUGACGGAGCAAUACCGCGUGAGGGAGGAAGGCUCUUGGGUCGUAAACCUCUUUUAUUAGGGAAGAAGAUCUGACGGUACCUAAUGAAUCAGCAUCGGCUAACUCCGUGCCAGCAGCCGCGGUAAUACGGAGGAUGCAAGCGUUAUCCGGAAUCAUUGGGCGUAAAGCGUCCGCAGGUGGCCAGAUAAGUCUGUUGUUAAAGCAUGGGGCUUAACCCCAUAUCGGCAAUGGAAACUGUUCGGCUAGAGUAUGGUAGGGGUCAGGGGAAUUCCCAGUGUAGCGGUGAAAUGCGUAGAUAUUGGGAAGAACACCGGUGGCGAAAGCGCCUGACUGGGCCAUAACUGACACUCAUGGACGAAAGCUAGGGGAGCGAAAGGGAUUAGAUACCCCUGUAGUCCUAGCCGUAAACGAUGGACACUAGGUGUUGCCCGUAUCGACCCGGGCGGUGCCGUAGCUAACGCGUUAAGUGUCCCGCCUGGGGAGUACGCACGCAAGUGUGAAACUCAAAGGAAUUGACGGGGGCCCGCACAAGCGGUGGAGUAUGUGGUUUAAUUCGAUGCAACGCGAAGAACCUUACCAGGAUUUGACAUCCCGCGAAUUCCCUUGAAAGGGGGAAGUGCCUUCGGGAGCGCGGAGACAGGUGGUGCAUGGCUGUCGUCAGCUCGUGUCGUGAGAUGUUGGGUUAAGUCCCGCAACGAGCGCAACCCACGUUUUUAGUUGCCAUCAUUUAGUUGGGCACUCUAGAGAGACUGCCGGUGACAAACCGGAGGAAGGUGUGGAUGACGUCAAGUCAGCAUGCCCCUUACGUUCUGGGCUACACACGUACUACAAUGCUUCGGACAGAGGGUCGCCAGGCCGCGAGGUCGAGCUAAUCCCGUAAACCGAGGCUCAGUUCAGAUUGCAGGCUGCAACUCGCCUGCAUGAAGGCGGAAUCGCUAGUAAUCGCCGGUCAGCAUACGGCGGUGAAUACGUUCCCGGGCCUUGUACACACCGCCCGUCACACCAUGGGAGUUGGUCACGCCCGAAGUGGUUACCCUAACCGUAACGAGGGGGACCCCUAAGGCAGGGCUGAUGACUGGGGUGAAGUCGUAACAAGGUAACC
RNAcentral lists this ribosomal RNA (1447 nucleotides) under uncultured bacterium. RNAcentral describes it as "bacterial SSU rRNA". It matches the Rfam family "Bacterial small subunit ribosomal RNA". The record is from RNAcentral.